Molecule: ribosomal RNA, 252 nt
Filed under: uncultured bacterium
Lineage: Bacteria
Description: partial 16S ribosomal RNA
Rfam family: Bacterial small subunit ribosomal RNA
Source: RNAcentral
UACGGAGGAUGCGAGCGUUAUCCGGAUUUAUUGGGUUUAAAGGGUGCGUAGGCGGACUGUCAAGUCAGCGGUAAAAUUGAGAGGCUCAACCUCUUCCCGGCGUUGAAACUGGUGGUCUUGAGUGGAUGAGAAGUACGCGGAAUGCGUGGUGUGGCGGUGAAAUGCAUAGAUAUCACGCAGAACUCCGAUUGCGAAGGCAGCGUACCGGCAUCCAACUGACGCUGAGGCACGAAAGCGUGGGGAUCAAACAGG